Molecule: ribosomal RNA, 500 nt
Filed under: uncultured Glomeromycotina
Lineage: Eukaryota; Fungi; Glomeromycota
Description: partial small subunit ribosomal RNA
Rfam family: Eukaryotic small subunit ribosomal RNA
Source: RNAcentral
CCAAUAGCGUAUAUUAAAGUUGUUGCAGUUAAAAAGCUCGUAGUUGAAUUUCGGGGUCAGUAGGUUGGUCGUGCCACCGGUAUGCACUGGUCUCACUGAUUCCUCCUUCUUGUAGAACCGUAAUGCCAUUCAGUUGGUGUUGCGGGGAAACAGGACUGUUACUUUGAAAAAAUUAGAGUGUUUAAAGCAGGCUAACGCUUGACUACAUUAGCAUGGAAUAAUGAAAUAGGACGUUCGAUCCUAUUUUGUUGGUUUCUAGGAUUGACGUAAUAAUUAAUAGGGAUAGUUGGGGGCAUUAGUAUUCAAUUGUCAGAGGUGAAAUUCUUGGAUUUAUUGAAGACUGACUACUGCGAAAGCAUUUGCCAAGGAUGUUUUCCUUAAUCAAGAACGAAAGUUAGGGGAUCGAAGACGAUCAGAUACCGUCGUAGUCUUAACCAUAAACUAUGCCGACUAGGGAUCGGAUGAUGUUAAUUUUUUAAUGACUCAUUCGGCGCCUUACG